CUGUUAUAGCGCCACCUAUGGUCUGAUCUCCAUGAAACUUUGCAUGCUUGUUAAGAGUCACCUGUUACAUGAUUUCAUUGAGUUUCAUAAAGUUUUGAGUUUUCCUUUAGGUUUUAUAGGCUUUGGGGUAUGUUUGGCCACACCCCUUUUUCUAAAUUACCCCGUUACAGCUAACCAAAGGACAAAAUUCAACAUUUUUUUAAUAAUUAUUGAUCUAGAGAGUCCACAGAAUAUUACUGCAGUGGUUUGGUUCCGAUCGGGCAAAAAACCUAGGACUAGUUCGCAAAAGUAGGUUUUUAACAUAUUUGUGAAUAACAAUUGAACGAUUUGAUUGACAGCAAUGGUUCUUGAGGCAAAGUUGUGCAUUAUGAGGAGAUCUAUCAAAUGAUAUGCAUAUUGUGUUGAUAUGUGAAACACCACGUGAUUACAGAGCCAUAAAACUCGUUAGCGCCAACUAGUGGCCGAUUUCUUUCAAAAUUCUUACAGACCUUAAGGUUCAUGAGUCGAACGUACCCAGUGAGUUUCGUUCCGAUCAACAUCCGUUAACCCUUUCAAAUAGGUGCUUAAAUUUGUUUGGCCAAUGGCGGCCAUGUUUUUUGAGAUAUGCAAAUGUCCUCAUAGGUACUUGUGCCCCUUCAGACCAAGACACUGCAUACCGAUUUUCAAGUCGAUCGAGCCAACGGUUGCCUAGUUAUAGCAAUUUAUGUGUUUUUUCUAUCUUAUUGCGCCCCCAAGUGGCAGAGAUGCGCAAUUUUUUUGAUUUGACCAAAGAUUGAGCUCAUACAUAUGUAUACCGAGUUUGGUGAAGAUAUCUCAUUCCGUUCAAGAGUUAUAGUUAAAAUAGCAUUUGGCUAACGUUAGCAUAGACGCUUUUAGGUGUACUGUUUCGCGUAAAAAUUGAAAUUUCAACUUUUUUUUGAUAAUUAUUGAUAUUGAGUGUCCAGGGAAUAUUUAUGAAGUGGUUUGGU
This is a long non-coding RNA of Carassius gibelio (silver crucian carp), 968 nucleotides long. RefSeq lists it as uncharacterized. The transcript is spliced from 4 exons. The record is from RefSeq and is a predicted model, not a curated record. NCBI's taxonomy places the organism in Eukaryota, Metazoa, Chordata, Actinopteri, Cypriniformes, Cyprinidae.